GAUGAAUGCUGGCGGCGUGCCUAACACAUGCAAGUCGAGCGGCAGCGAGGGGUGCUUGCACCCUGUCGGCGAGCGGCGAACGGCUGAGUAACGCGUAGGAAUUUGCCCCAAAGUGAGGAAUAACUGCCCGAAAGGGUAGCUAAUGCCGCAUAUGGUCUUCGGAUUAAAGGAUUUAUCCGCUUUGGGAGAAGCCUGCGUUGGAUUAGGUUGUUGGUAGGGUAAUGGCCUACCAAGCCGACGAUCCAUAGCUGGUCUGAGAGGAUGAUCAGCCAGACUGGAACUGAGACACGGUCCAGACUCCUACGGGAGGCGGCAGUGAGGAAUCUUCCACAAUGGGCGAAAGCCUGAUGGAGCAACGCCGCGUGAAGGAUGAAGGCCUUCGGGUUGUAAACUUCUUUUAUGAGUGGAGAAUAUGACGGUAACUCAUGAAUAAGCACCGGCUAACUACGUG
This 451-nucleotide ribosomal RNA is filed under the name uncultured bacterium. RNAcentral describes it as "partial 16S ribosomal RNA". It matches the Rfam family "Bacterial small subunit ribosomal RNA", at positions 28 to 507 of the family's 1533-position model. The record is from RNAcentral.